AUAUUAUAUCUCUCCACCAGGCCAUCGACCUGCUGCCAGCCAAUACUCAGAUCAGACAGAUCCGUGUGUUCCUGGAGAGUGUUCUGGAGGAGAAGGCCCAGAGGAAACGCUUUGACCAGGUCCUCAAGAGUCUGCUGCAGGCCGAGUUCCUACGGGUCCAGGAGGAGCGUAUCUUCCACCAGCAGGUCAAGUGUACCAUCUCAGAAGAGAAGACCUGCCGGGUCUGUAAGAAGAAGAUAGGCAACAGCGCCUUCGCCAGGUAUCCCAACGGUGUCGUCGUUCAUUACUUCUGCUGUAAGGACCGAGGGGUGUGUCCUAUUGAGCAGUGACACCAAAAUAGUGUCCUCUUGUGGACGACAUGUUCCUUAGCGGCACCCUGGACGGAGGGAGCUGGGUUUGUCUGAAACACUUCCACAGCAGCUUGGCUGUUCAGCUGGACUCAUCUCUGGAACUCUGGAUCUCUGGAACUCUGGAUCUCUGGAUCUCUGGAUCUCUGGAUCUCUGGAACUCUGGAACUCUGGAUCUCUGGAACUCUGGAACUCUGGAACUCUGGAUCUCUGGAUCUCUGGAACUCUGGAUCUCUGGAACUCUGGAUCUCUGGAUCUCUGGAUCUCUGGAACUCUGGAACUCUGGAACUCUGGAUCUCUGGCUGCUUCUGUCUGGAAUUGUGGAAUGCUGUUCCUCUCCCUCCCGAUCUCGCUGUCUCUCUCUGACUCUCGCUGUCUCUCUCUGACUCUCUCUGACUCUCGCUGUCUCUCUCUGACUCUCGCUGUCUCUCUCUGACUCUCGCUGUCUCUCUCUGACUCUCGCUGUCUCUGACUCUCUCUCUGAUUCUAUCUCUCUGACUCUCUCUCUGAUUCUGUCUCUCUGACUCUCUCUCUGUCUCUCUCUGACUCUCUCUGUCUCUCUCUGUCUCUCUCUGACUCUCUCUGACUCUCUCUGACUCUCGCUGUCUCUCUCUGUCUCUCUCUGUCUCUCUCUCUCUCUGACUCUUGCUGACUCUCUGUCUAUCUAAUAUUCGGAUAAUCUUUAUUAGCAUGAAUGACUAAGCCACUGUUGCUAAAGCGAAGUGAGAUAAUGUAAUCAAAAAUAACAGUUAAAAAAAUGUAUGAAUAUUGAUGGUGAUUAGAUAAAGGAGACUAAUAUAUAUAUUAUACACAAUCGUUCAGAAUUUUGGGGUCACUUAGAAAUAUCCUGGUUUUUGAAAGAAAAGCUCAUUUUUUUUGUCCAUUAAAAAUAACAUCAAAUUAAUCAGAAAUACAGUGUAGACAUUGUUAAUGUUGUAAAUGACUGUUGUAGCUGGAAACGGCUGAUCUUUAAUGGAAUAUCUACGUAGGCGUACAGAGGCCCAUUAUCAGCAACCAUCACUCCUGUGUUCCAAUGGCGCGUUGUGUUAGCUCAUCCAAGGUUAUCAUUUUAAAAGACAAACGCCCUUCACAGAACAGUGUAAACUGGGCCUCUUUACGUCAAUGAAGAUAUUCCAUUAAAACUCAGCCUUGCCUCGUUUCCUCCUCUACUCAUCUCAUCCUCAUCCUCAACACGCUAUUGGCUAUACAUAGAGGAGGAGAGUUAAGCUGAUGGUGUGUGUGUGUGUGUGUGUGUGUGUGUGUGUGUGUGUGUGUGUGUGUGUACUUAAAAGCAUCCCUUUGCUUUUCACUUUUCAUGUUGUUCUCAGCGACCCGUUUGUUUCUAAGGAAAUGGUUGAAAACCACUCCAGAUUAUAAUGUAACGACUAAACUUCUAAUAUGGUUCGAUGUGCACAAACAAGUUCUUUUGUUGUUCUUUUUUUUAAAUAUCUCAGUUGCCUCAAUAUAAACCCUUCUGUCUUCACAUA
Oncorhynchus masou masou (cherry salmon) is the source of this 1834-nucleotide long non-coding RNA. RefSeq lists it as uncharacterized. The record is from RefSeq and is a predicted model, not a curated record. The transcript is spliced from 3 exons. NCBI's taxonomy places the organism in Eukaryota, Metazoa, Chordata, Actinopteri, Salmoniformes, Salmonidae.